ACCAAAAUAGCUCAGUUGGGAGACUGUUAGACUGAAGACCUAAAGGUCCCUGGUUCAAUCCUGGGUUUUGCCA
RNAcentral lists this transfer RNA (73 nucleotides) under Bos taurus (domestic cattle). It matches the Rfam family "tRNA". Rfam says of the family: Transfer RNA (tRNA) molecules are approximately 80 nucleotides in length. Their secondary structure includes four short double-helical elements and three loops (D, anti-codon, and T loops). Further hydrogen bonds mediate the characteristic L-shaped molecular structure. tRNAs have two regions of fundamental functional importance: the anti-codon, which is responsible for specific mRNA codon recognition, and the 3' end, to which the tRNAs corresponding amino acid is attached (by aminoacyl-tRNA synthetases). tRNAs cope with the degeneracy of the genetic code in two manners: having more than one tRNA (with a specific anti-codon) for a particular amino acid; and 'wobble' base-pairing, i.e. permitting non-standard base-pairing at the 3rd anti-codon position. RNAcentral also lists the same sequence under 5 other names. Lineage: Eukaryota; Metazoa; Chordata; Mammalia; Artiodactyla; Bovidae. The record is from Rfam by way of RNAcentral.